GAUGGGAUGGCUCAGUUGGUAGAGCACUUGACUUGCAAACACAGGGUCCUGAGUUUGAUUCCCCCAAUUCUACA
Molecule: transfer RNA, 74 nt
Filed under: Mus musculus (house mouse)
Lineage: Eukaryota; Metazoa; Chordata; Mammalia; Rodentia; Muridae
Description: tRNA-Ala
Source: RNAcentral